Molecule: ribosomal RNA, 359 nt
Filed under: uncultured Oceanicola sp.
Lineage: Bacteria; Pseudomonadati; Pseudomonadota; Alphaproteobacteria; Rhodobacterales; Roseobacteraceae
Description: bacterial SSU rRNA
Rfam family: Bacterial small subunit ribosomal RNA
Source: RNAcentral
GUGCCAGCAGCUGCGGUAAUACGGAGGGGUUAGCGUUGUUCGGAAUUACUGGGCGUAAAGCGCGCGUAGGCGGACAUUUAAGUCAGGGGUGAAAUCCUGCGGCUCAACCGCAGAACUGCCUUUGAUACUGGGUGUCUUGAGGUCGAGAGAGGUGAGUGGAAUUCCGAGUGUAGAGGUGAAAUUCGUAGAUAUUCGGAGGAACACCAGUGGCGAAGGCGGCUCACUGGCUCGAUACUGACGCUGAGGUGCGAAAGCGUGGGAGCAAACAGGAUUAGAUACCCUGGUAGUCCACGCCGUAAACGAUGAAUGCCAGUCGUCGAGGGGCUUGCCCUUUGGUCGACACACCUAACGGAUUAAGC